UAAAUAACGUUCUCCCCUGUAGGCAUUCACAGGACAACUUACCUCUCACCUUACCGUGUUUCUAGAAGAGCACAGUUCUGAAUUCAGGUGAGUUCUCACUUGCCAGUGCUGCUGAUACAAGUGAACUUGCAAGGAGGAUAAGUCUGCGAAACAGAACUCUGUUUUUCUCUCUUCCUUCCACUUCCUCCUACUGAAAGCACUCCAGGCUUUCCUGAAGAAAUUCAGUACAAAGGUUUUACUUAUUGUAAACUCUCCUGAAGGUGAGUGAUAAAUAUUAUUAGUAAUUUUUUUAAGGUUUCUUUUUUUUUUUCAACGUUUUAUUUAUUUUUGGGACAGAGAGAGACAGAGCAUGAACGGGGGAGGGGCAGAGAAAGAGGGAGACACAGAAUCGGAAACAGGCUCCAGGCUCUGAGCCAUCAGCCCAGAGCCUGACGCGGGGCUCGAACUCACAGACCGCGAGAUCGUGACCUGGCCGAAGUCGGACGCUUAACUCACUGUGCCACCCAGGCGCCCCUAAGGUUUCUUUUUUUUAAUGUUUAUUUUUGAGGGAGAGAGACAGAGAGACAGAGCAUAAGCGGGAGAGGGGCAGAGAGAGUGGGAGAGAGAAUCCAAAGCAGGCUCCAGCUUCUGAGCCAUUCAGUGCAGAGCCCAAUGCCAGGCUCGAACCCACGAACUGUGAAAUCAUGACCUGAGCCAAAGUCAGAGGCUUAACCAACUGAGCCACCCAAUUAAUGCCCAAACAUUAAUUUUUUAUUUACAAAAAUCUGCAUUGAUUUGACUUACCACUUAUUUAAAUUUUUUUUAAUGUUUAUUAUUGAGAGACAGAGAGAGACAGAGUGAGAGUGGGGGAGGGGCAGAGAGAGGAGGAGACACAGAAUCCGAAGGAGGCUCCAGGCUCUGAGCUGUCAGCACAGAGCCCGAUGCAGGGCUCAAACCCACAAACCAUGAGAUCAUGACCCGAGCUGAAGUUGGACGCCCAGCUGACUGAGCCACCCAGGUGCCCCAUGACUUCUCACUUAAAUGCCAAUAGGUGACCAACUCUCCCGUGUGCCCAGGACUGUCCCCAUUUUAGCACUGAAAACCCCAUAUCCUGGGAAUGCCAGUGAUAAAUCAGGUAGACUUGUCAGCUCAAAAAAGUGUUUGGAGAUUUUUUUUUUUUUUUUUGAUGGACACAAGGAAAUGUACUUGUUCAAAAUCAAAAGAGGUUACCUCCUGGGAAACCGAUUCCCUCCGGGAGACCCCACUCCACUCACUAUUAGCAAGUGUGGCUGAUUUGACAAGGAGGAAGUGCAGGUGGGUUGGGGGGGAGGGGGUGGCAGAGAGAGGACUGUUUCAGAUAUGGCUGCCUGACAAGCCUACAAACCCUUGUCUUGGCAUCCUUCCUACAAUGUCCCUCACUUUGAGUCAGGCUCUGGAUCCCCCAACAAACCCCACGGAGCAGUUCUUGCAGCUCCAAGUCACCAUCAAAUCUGCGUGUACGAAGCGCUGUGGGUGUCCUCUCACAAGGGAGCAGCCCAAGCAUGGGGGUUCCUUCAGGACAUGUGGGGUGGCUUCCCCAGCCUCUGUAGAUGUAUGUCCCGUUCCCUCAGACCAAGUGUCUCGUGCCGUUUUUGUGGUAUCUGCACACCUCAUGGAAUUGGCCCACCACAUGCAGAUUGAGUUUCCGGUCACAGAGGAUGCAGUGUGGCCUGUUUCCACACACCCGAGAGAUGAAUGUGAGGGCCCGUCAGGACUGUGGGCAUUUGGAUUCCUGAGGCCACAGUGCUCCUCCCACAGGUUGGGGUCUCUCGUGAGAUUGCUGGACUGCUGUCAUCUGAAGGCUUGACUGGGGCUGGGAGGGUCUGCUUCCAAGAUGGCUCAUCACAUGGCUGUUGGCUGGAGGCCUCAGUUUCUCACCAUGAGGACCUCUCUGUAAGGUUACUUGAGUGCCUCCCUGACAUGACAGCUUCCCCUGUGAUGAAUGACCCAAGAGAAAGAAAGCAAGAAGGCAGCCACAGUGCUGUUUAAGACCCAGUCAUGCACUAUCAUUUCCUCCAUAUUCUAAGUCCGCCAAGCCACUAAGUCCAGCCCGCGCUCCAGGGGAGGGGAAUCAGGGAGGAAAAAGAAUCAAAGGAUUUGGGGACAUAUUUUCAAACCACAGUUUCCCAAGGCAUCAUGUGGCUGGACCAGGAAUGAAUCUCCACGAAGGCUGGUACUGAUAGUAACACAGUAGGAAGAACAUGGGCUUUGAGUCAAAUCUGAGUUGGAAACCAGGCUUUGAUCCUUUCCAUUUUCUGGGAUCUGGGGCAAAACAGUCAUCUCUAAACUUUAGUUUCUUUAUCUGCAAAAUGAAAAUUAGAAUUGUAAUUCUUCCAUGGAGUUUUUUUAUAAUUUAAACGAGAUGACCCAUGCAGGGACAGACUCCAACUGUAUGGGGCCUGACACCUUUCCAACUUGACAGGGCCCUCUUGAAGAAAGGAGAAUGCAAAAUUACAAGUGUAAAUAAUGCACAAAAUGAACAUUUAUUUAGAAUUAAAAAUGACAAAAAUGGAGUGCCUGGCUGGCUCAGUUGAUAGAACAUGUGACUCUCGAUCUCAAGGUCAUGAGUCUAAGCCCCAUGUUGGGCAUGGAGCCUACUUAAAAUGAAAUUUAAAAUAAUUAAGAAAUGACCCCCCCCAAAACCCCACAUGUUAAAGGUGAAUACCACAAAUGUCACAAAAUUCAGAAAAAUGACAAUUAAAAAAAUCACCUAGGCAUGCCUCUUUAAAAUACUGUCUUCCCCGCAUUUUUACUGCAUACUUUUUGGUCACUUGUCAACAUGACAAAGAUUUUGCAAUAUUUUCCAUAGGCAGGGGCGCCUGGCUGGCUCUGUUGGUACAGUAUGUGAUUCUUGAUCUCGGGGUCGUGAGUUUGAACCCCACAUGGGGUGUAGAGAUUACUUAAAAAUAAAAUCUUUAGAAAUCUAUGUUUUCCAUGGUCAGAAGAUAAUUUGGCCUUUCUUUAGCAUGGUUGAUUAAAAUUUGGUUUUUAUUAUUGAGAGCUUAUAUUCAGCUCUACAACUUAUUGUGGAUAAUGUCAGGCAUUUUUUUUAGGGCUGUUGUCAAAUUUGGUAAGCCUCUGAAUAUGUAUUUUUUAAAUAUAUGAGCUCAGGGCUUCAAGUAAGUGUUCCUGUGUAGUAAAUUGAUGGCACCCUUUACGCAGGGCGGUUGAGGGGGUCUGCAUAAGAGAGGGGCUGGAAGCUUCAGUUUGCCUGACAGUCUUCCCCUGGAAGCAGGUAUGUGUGGAGCAUGGGGCUGGCAUGUAUCAGGUGCUCUGGAAAUGGGAGAAGCCUGGAGAGUCCUUGUCUUCCUGCUCCACUGCCUCAGGCAAAACCAGAGACUUCCUGUCCUUGAUUCUAACUUCUUUCUUCUCCAGUAGCUUCUCCAGUGCCCUUAGAAGGCGGGAACAGAAAUACACCCCUUGGGUGGGAAGAAUACUGGGCUCAGAAUGAAAAGAUCUGGGUUUGAGACCUGUCUUUGUCACUCAACUGUGGGACUUUGACAAAUUACCCAGCCUCGCUGUGUGUCAGUUUCUUGGUCUCUGAGAUGGGCAUAGUUACACCAGCCUCAUGGGUUGUUGCCUGUGAACAGUAGAAUACCAGUACAAGGGCCUUGUGGAUUACAGAGCAAUUUUACUAAUGUAAAAUGUUUUUAUUUUGGUGCCUAGAAGUUACCAAGGAAUCGGUUUGGACACUAUCCAGUGUUUAUGGGCAUCUUAAAUUCUUUGUUCUCUGUGGCCUAAAUGAAUUGGAAAUUCAAACUGGACUUCAAUCAAAUUUGGCAUAAAGACCAGGACAGCAAACUUGUCCACUCUUUCCACAAAAAGGUACUGGGUUCUAGCUAUUGCCAUAUUUGUGCUAGAGACGGGGAUUCCAGGAUAGACAAGACACAGUCCUGGCACUUCAGGUAUGGAGCACAGGUAAAUGAAACCCCAGACGGACAUCUGGAGGAAGGGCUCAGCCUUCAAGCCUGUUAAGUUCAAAACCUUGGCCUCCCUGUGCCUCAGUGUCUCCUUUUGCCAAGAGGCGUUGCUAACUGCUAGAGAGGGGUGUGGACACAAAUGAGGGUCUGCACAUCUCGGAGAACGUCUGGGCAGAGUCAUCAGAGGGUUGCACAGAGCCCCGCUGAGACUGGUUGUUCUUGGGGAAUUUUCAGGAAGCUUUGAAGUGCCACCAGGACGAGGGAGGCUGCCCCAUCCUGGAGGUACAUUCACUUGUAAUUUACUCCCCCACGUGGGCUCUGGAGCUCCAGUCUCAUAAAUACAUCGCUUGCUCAAUCCUGCCGUGGAAGACGGACAGAGGGAGGGGGCUGGAGGGGAGGAAUCACUAAAUUAAGAAGGUCCCUGGGAGUGACUGGCCUACAGACACAACUGAGUCCCCUAAGUUUCUCUCCUUCAAACAUAAAUAUUUCCAACUAAGAUCACAGACUCCCUCCUCAUAAAAUCAAUGAAACCACAAGGGAAAAUGACCUCCCGCUUGACUGCACCAGAGAUAUCUCAAACGGAGUCACUUCCCCUCCCGCAGAAGCAACCGCUGCUGGGGUUCAAGGAUCUGAAACCCAGGCACUGCCACCGAGAAUCUGAGGCUAAGAAGAAGUCAGGUGGGUUGGGUACGUGUCCGUCUCAUUUGACUUGCUGUGUUUCGGUGACGGCUUCUGCGCGACCCUGCUGCAGCAUGAGACUUUUUUCCUGGAACCAGACCUGGGUUCAAGGUGCAGCUCCUCUAAUUACUGGCUGGGCGUUUUUGGGCAAAGUAGAAUCUCUCCAGCGCAGUCUCCUCAUCUAGUACAAGGUGGAUGAUAGAUAGAUAAUGUACAGUCUGGUCUGCCUGCCCUGCAGGGGAGGUGACGAGAUCAAGAGAACUGUCCGUGCAAAUGCUUUGUAAACCAUAAAGCCCUUGAUAAAUAACAGCUCUUGUUAUUAAAAGAUAAAAGCACCAAUCCUGCUAGUUAGUGUACUUGUUAGAACCCCUUACACUAUAAGUGACAGAACUCCUAACUUAAACUGGCUAAAACCGCAAUUGACUUAUGUAAUUGAAAAGGAUGGAUUCAAGUGAGGAUGAGGUUCGACAUCACCAAGGACCAGCUCCUCCCCAGCCCCCACAGUGACUGCACAUGUCACAUCUUGACAAGAUGCCAUCCAGAGGAGGGGAGUUCCUUUCCCCCAAUUUCCAUUAAAGAGAGAUGGAGGGGGAGGAGUGAGGGACUCUUUUUUUUUUCCAGAGUUAGCCAAUUUCACUGGCUUUCUUUCCACAGCCAGGGGAUCAGAUAUGUUGAUUGGCUGAAGAGAAUCAAGGACCAUCCCUAGAUCUGGAAGCAGGAUCAUGAUGCCAACCAAACCACAUUUGGAGGUGUUACUUUAUCAGAAGAGUGAAAAAAUGCCAAGUUGCACAAACACCCAACCAGUACAGUCCACCCCCUUUAACUGCCCAAUAUCCACACCCACCUGCAUCCCCAUAAAUACACCUCAAAAAAUCCCCACUCCCUCUAUGAACUCUUUUUCCAAAAGAGACAAGCCAUGAUUUCAUGUAGUCUGGUUCUCUAGGUGACUCAUGGUCCUCGUGGAGGGAGCUGCUAUGGUCCUAUGUGGUCCAGUGAGGCUCAGUGGUAAAUUUAAUCACCACUGAUGCAUUUAGUAAACAGCAAUGGAGAACAGGGUAAUUGCACUAAAAACUCUCAUUUGGAAAAGGAAAGGACAGGAUACAACUGUCAAUGGUCACCCUGUCAUAUUCUGCCAGAAAUCACAUGGAUGUCCUUCCUCGAAACAAGUACCCGUCCUCCCUAGUGCUGUCCUCUGGAAGGCUCCCCUUUGCCCUUUGCCCUCUAUGGCCCCUGCUGUCUCUUUGGGGAAAUCCCUCCUGUGUUAACCUUCACAGACCACGAGAC
RNAcentral lists this long non-coding RNA (5900 nucleotides) under Lynx pardinus (Iberian lynx). The stretch from base 2534 to 2606 matches the Rfam family "tRNA". Lineage: Eukaryota; Metazoa; Chordata; Mammalia; Carnivora; Felidae. The record is from RNAcentral.